UGGCCAAUCAGGACGCAGGUAGCUCUAAAGGUCAAGGUAACAAACCUCUCCCAGGACCAUUCACAGACCUCGUCUUACCCUCCCCACAAAACCUGGCAGCCAGCGCUUAAUGUGAUUUCCCUGCUGUCUUCCGACGACUGGAGCAUACAAAGCUGAUAGUGGAUGUCUUGGAGUUGAAGCAAAGCAGACCUGAAUGAGUCCCGACUCCAACUUCAUUGUCUGUGUAACUUGGGCACACAGAAAAUACGGGCAAUGAGGGUUGCUGUGAAGAUCAAAUGUGAUCAUGUGUCUGAAGAGCUCGGCUCGCAGGUGCUUGGGGAGCUCCAGUCAAACUGGUUUUCACAUUCAGAAGCUGGAAUGGUGUUUAGCAAAGCCAUUGAAGAAGCAAGAAGAGAAGAAGGGAUGGGAGAACCCCAGGCCCACCUCCUUCUGGCUAUGUGUGGAUACAUGAGAUGAGCAGCUUUGCCCUAUCAGAUGCCACUCACAUGAGGCUCUGCCUUGCCCCAGCCCUAAAAACAACAAGGCAAGUGGCCAUGGACUGAAACCUCUGAAACUACAAGCCACAUUAAACCUAUCUUCCUUUUAAAUUGAUUGUCUCAGAGAUUUUGUCACACUGAUGCAAAGCUGACUGACACAGGCUGUGCAUAGGUCUCUAAGUACUGGAAGCACACACUCUCAGACACACUGCUUGUUGUUGAUUUAGAAUCUCUAAGGUGAGUUCAGGAGGCAGGGUUUUUAUCAGUCAUUCAAGGACACAUAUUUUGGACAGACAGGAGCAGGUCAUUUCCUAUUGUGUAGGCUGGUGGUGACAGGAAGUGUGUGCUCCUGAAUGUCACGGUGGCAUGUUGGAAAUCAACCCUGAAGGGGCCACCUGGGCAGGAAGUGUCCCCAGCUCACAUCUGUCUGUUAAGCGCAUUGGGUCAGGCUUAGAGAAUUUGUUUCCAGAAACUUCGUUGGGCCCAGCUAGAGGGGCAUCGAUGUGGACAGCUGACACCCACUAGGCUGAGGGGAAGAGCAGACAAGAGUGAGGAGGGGCUGCAUUAUCUGCAUGGGCACCAGAGGGAGAGGCUUAGUCAGCAGGCUUUCAUUCCUCCCAGUCCUGGAGGCGGGAAGUCCAGGCUCAGCAGGGUUGUUUUUCUGAGGCCUCUCCUUGUGUGGAUGGCCGUGCUCUCUGUGUGUGUUUGUGUCUUAUUCUGAAAACAUACCAGUCAUGUUGGAUUAGGGUGAGAGUUCAUUUCAACUUAAUCACUCCUUCAGAGGUCCUAUGUCCCAAAAUAGGCACAUCCUGCGAUAUUAGAAAUUAACA
RNAcentral lists this long non-coding RNA (1306 nucleotides) under Cavia porcellus (domestic guinea pig). Its description in RNAcentral is "lncRNA (ENSCPOG00000040119.1)". Lineage: Eukaryota; Metazoa; Chordata; Mammalia; Rodentia; Caviidae. The record is from RNAcentral.